GGCAGUGGUACCUCAACGGUUAAGGAUCUGAUCAGUGAUCGGUGAUCAGGAGGUCGGGGUUCGAGCACCAGCACUGCCA
This is a non-coding RNA of Ameiurus melas (black bullhead), 79 nucleotides long. The record is from the annotation of a GenBank genome assembly. Lineage: Eukaryota; Metazoa; Chordata; Actinopteri; Siluriformes; Ictaluridae.